UGAGGUGUGGCUCAGUGGUGGAGCCCUUGCCUGGCAUGCAGGAGUCCUGGGUUCCAGCCCAGCCCAGCAC
This 70-nucleotide transfer RNA is filed under the name Ictidomys tridecemlineatus (thirteen-lined ground squirrel). RNAcentral's name for it is "Spermophilus tridecemlineatus (thirteen-lined ground squirrel) tRNA". It matches the Rfam family "tRNA". From Rfam's summary of the family: Transfer RNA (tRNA) molecules are approximately 80 nucleotides in length. Their secondary structure includes four short double-helical elements and three loops (D, anti-codon, and T loops). The record is from Rfam by way of RNAcentral. Lineage: Eukaryota; Metazoa; Chordata; Mammalia; Rodentia; Sciuridae.